Molecule: ribosomal RNA, 2893 nt
Filed under: Escherichia coli
Lineage: Bacteria; Pseudomonadati; Pseudomonadota; Gammaproteobacteria; Enterobacterales; Enterobacteriaceae
Description: bacterial LSU rRNA
Rfam family: Bacterial large subunit ribosomal RNA
Source: RNAcentral
ACUAAGCGUACACGGUGGAUGCCCUGGCAGUCAGAGGCGAUGAAGGACGUGCUAAUCUGCGAUAAGCGUCGGUGAGGUGAUAUGAACCGUUAUAACCGGCGAUUUCCGAAUGGGGAAACCCAGUGUGUUUCGACACACUAUCAUUAACUGAAUCCAUAGGUUAAUGAGGCGAACCGGGGGAACUGAAACAUCUAAGUACCCCGAGGAAAAGAAAUCAACCGAGAUUCCCCCAGUAGCGGCGAGCGAACGGGGAGGAGCCCAGAGCCUGAAUCAGUGUGUGUGUUAGUGGAAGCGUCUGGAAAGGCGCGCGAUACAGGGUGACAGCCCCGUACACAAAAAUACACAUAUUGUGAGCUCGAUGAGUAGGGCGGGACACGUGGUAUCCUGUCUGAAUAUGGGGGGACCAUCCUCCAAGGCUAAAUACUCCUGACUGACCGAUAGUGAACCAGUACCGUGAGGGAAAGGCGAAAAGAACCCCGGCGAGGGGAGUGAAAAAGAACCUGAAACCGUGUACGUACAAGCAGUGGGAGCCUCUUUAUGGGGUGACUGCGUACCUUUUGUAUAAUGGGUCAGCGACUUAUAUUCUGUAGCAAGGUUAACCGAAUAGGGGAGCCGAAGGGAAACCGAGUCUUAACUGGGCGUUAAGUUGCAGGGUAUAGACCCGAAACCCGGUGAUCUAGCCAUGGGCAGGUUGAAGGUUGGGUAACACUAACUGGAGGACCGAACCGACUAAUGUUGAAAAAUUAGCGGAUGACUUGUGGCUGGGGGUGAAAGGCCAAUCAAACCGGGAGAUAGCUGGUUCUCCCCGAAAGCUAUUUAGGUAGCGCCUCGUGAAUUCAUCUCCGGGGGUAGAGCACUGUUUCGGCAAGGGGGUCAUCCCGACUUACCAACCCGAUGCAAACUGCGAAUACCGGAGAAUGUUAUCACGGGAGACACACGGCGGGUGCUAACGUCCGUCGUGAAGAGGGAAACAACCCAGACCGCCAGCUAAGGUCCCAAAGUCAUGGUUAAGUGGGAAACGAUGUGGGAAGGCCCAGACAGCCAGGAUGUUGGCUUAGAAGCAGCCAUCAUUUAAAGAAAGCGUAAUAGCUCACUGGUCGAGUCGGCCUGCGCGGAAGAUGUAACGGGGCUAAACCAUGCACCGAAGCUGCGGCAGCGACACUAUGUGUUGUUGGGUAGGGGAGCGUUCUGUAAGCCUGUGAAGGUGGCCUGUGAGGGUUGCUGGAGGUAUCAGAAGUGCGAAUGCUGACAUAAGUAACGAUAAAGCGGGUGAAAAGCCCGCUCGCCGGAAGACCAAGGGUUCCUGUCCAACGUUAAUCGGGGCAGGGUGAGUCGACCCCUAAGGCGAGGCCGAAAGGCGUAGUCGAUGGGAAACAGGUUAAUAUUCCUGUACUUGGUGUUACUGCGAAGGGGGGACGGAGAAGGCUAUGUUGGCCGGGCGACGGUUGUCCCGGUUUAAGCGUGUAGGCUGGUUUUCCAGGCAAAUCCGGAAAACCAAGGCUGAGGCGUGAUGACGAGGCACUACGGUGCUGAAGCGACAAAUGCCCUGCUUCCAGGAAAAGCCUCUAAGCAUCAGGUAACAUCAAAUCGUACCCCAAACCGACACAGGUGGUCAGGUAGAGAAUACCAAGGCGCUUGAGAGAACUCGGGUGAAGGAACUAGGCAAAAUGGUGCCGUAACUUCGGGAGAAGGCACGCUGAUAUGUAGGUGAAGCGACUUGCUCGUGGAGCUGAAAUCAGUCGAAGAUACCAGCUGGCUGCAACUGUUUAUUAAAAACACAGCACUGUGCAAACACGAAAGUGGACGUAUACGGUGUGACGCCUGCCCGGUGCCGGAAGGUUAAUUGAUGGGGUUAGCGGUAACGCGAAGCUCUUGAUCGAAGCCCCGGUAAACGGCGGCCGUAACUAUAACGGUCCUAAGGUAGCGAAAUUCCUUGUCGGGUAAGUUCCGACCUGCACGAAUGGCGUAAUGAUGGCCAGGCUGUCUCCACCCGAGACUCAGUGAAAUUGAACUCGCUGUGAAGAUGCAGUGUACCCGCGGCAAGACGGAAAGACCCCGUGAACCUUUACUAUAGCUUGACACUGAACAUUGAGCCUUGAUGUGUAGGAUAGGUGGGAGGCUUUGAAGUGUGGACGCCAGUCUGCAUGGAGCCGACCUUGAAAUACCACCCUUUAAUGUUUGAUGUUCUAACGUUGGCCCGUAAUCCGGGUUGCGGACAGUGUCUGGUGGGUAGUUUGACUGGGGCGGUCUCCUCCUAAAGAGUAACGGAGGAGCACGAAGGUUGGCUAAUCCUGGUCGGACAUCAGGAGGUUAGUGCAAUGGCAUAAGCCAGCUUGACUGCGAGCGUGACGGCGCGAGCAGGUGCGAAAGCAGGUCAUAGUGAUCCGGUGGUUCUGAAUGGAAGGGCCAUCGCUCAACGGAUAAAAGGUACUCCGGGGAUAACAGGCUGAUACCGCCCAAGAGUUCAUAUCGACGGCGGUGUUUGGCACCUCGAUGUCGGCUCAUCACAUCCUGGGGCUGAAGUAGGUCCCAAGGGUAUGGCUGUUCGCCAUUUAAAGUGGUACGCGAGCUGGGUUUAGAACGUCGUGAGACAGUUCGGUCCCUAUCUGCCGUGGGCGCUGGAGAACUGAGGGGGGCUGCUCCUAGUACGAGAGGACCGGAGUGGACGCAUCACUGGUGUUCGGGUUGUCAUGCCAAUGGCACUGCCCGGUAGCUAAAUGCGGAAGAGAUAAGUGCUGAAAGCAUCUAAGCACGAAACUUGCCCCGAGAUGAGUUCUCCCUGAGACUUAGAGUCUCCUGAAGGAACGUUGAAGACGACGACGUUGAUAGGCCGGGUGUGUAAGCGCAGCGAUGCGUUGAGCUAACCGGUACUAAUGAACCGUGAGGCUUAACC